Molecule: non-coding RNA, 83 nt
Organism: Mirounga angustirostris (Northern elephant seal)
Lineage: Eukaryota; Metazoa; Chordata; Mammalia; Carnivora; Phocidae
Source: the annotation of a RefSeq genome assembly
GCCGAGGUAGCUCAGCUGGGAGAGCGUCAGACUGAAGAUCUGAAGGUGCCUGGUUCGACCCCGGGUUCGCAGCCGUUUUGGCG